RNAcentral lists this non-coding RNA (116 nucleotides) under Palpitomonas bilix. The record is from RNAcentral.
AAAAGUAGAAAGGAAAAGAAAGGAGGAAAGGGGAGGAAGAAGGAAGAGGUCCCUUUUCCUUUUUUUCGGGGGGGGAAUGUUUCACAUGUUUUCUUUUCUUUUUUUUUCAUUUCUCU